CUUCGGCUGACAGAGCGGUAGCAGAAAACAGACAGGUGGGGCUUUAUGGUACUAUAAGGCACUGGACCCUACAAUGUUCAGAGAGUGCUUUGUACACCAAAAUGUCAGCCGGAACGGGUCAAGAACCCCUCAAAGUGCCUCAUAUAUGGAACUUAACAUCUAAGAGGUAAAUGGUUGUAAUAAACUGGGUUUGGAGACGUAGCGGAGUCAGGCGCAGGACACAGGUUUGAGCGAAACAGUCUAGUUUACUCAUAAACACAAGCAAAAUCUCCAACAGGAAACAACAGUGUGAGGAGAACACCUCCAACAACCACUGAUAACGAACAAUCACGGACAAAACAAAAAGUGAACACGACCCUGAUGCUCAACUGUACUUGCCCUGAACUGAAAACACAGUGCACAGCCCAGUGAGGCCGGUGGUGGCUGGCCCGCUCCAGGAGUCUGAGGUGUGGGGAGUUUCUCCGCCCCCUUUGGACAUCGAGGGGGCCCCGGCGUACUCCAUUCGCUCCAUACUGCAUUCGAGGUGUCGGGCGAGGGGCCUUCAGUACCUCGUGGACUAUGAGGGGUUCGGUCCGGAGGAGAGAUGCUGGGUUCCGGUGGAGGACGUGUUGGACCCUUCAUUGCUGCGGGAGUUCCAUCGUCUCCGACCGGAUCGCCUUACACCUCGCCCUCUGGCCUUCUUUAGACUAGUUGAGUAUCAGCAUUUGUGGGUUCGAUUACAGGCUCAAAAUGGACUGAAACAAAGACCUUUCUUCUUAAACUCGUCAGUCUGUUCUUGUUCUGAGAAAUGAAGGCUAUUCCAUGUGAGAAAUUGCCAAGAAACUGAUGAUCUUGUGCAACGCUGUGUACUACUUCCUUCACAGAAUAGCGCAAACUGUCUCUAACCAGAAUAGAAAGAAGAGUGGGAGGCCCCGGUGCACAACUGAGCAAGAGGAUAAGUACAUUAGAGUGUGUAGUUUGAGAAACAGACGCCUCACAAGUUCUCAACUGACAGUUUCCAGCUGUGCUAACAUAAUUGCAAAACGGUUUUCUAAUGAUCAGUUAGCCUUUCAAAAUUAUAAACUUGGAUUAGCUAACACAACGUGCCAUUGGAACACAGGAGUGAUGGUUGCUGAUAAUGGGCCUCUGUACGCCCAUGUAGAUAUU
This 1146-nucleotide long non-coding RNA is filed under the name Salmo salar (Atlantic salmon). RNAcentral's name for it is "lncRNA (ENSSSAG00000106470.1)". The record is from RNAcentral. Lineage: Eukaryota; Metazoa; Chordata; Actinopteri; Salmoniformes; Salmonidae.